GGCUCUUCCCCGAGAGGACAGAUAAUGCAGUGAAGAAUCAUUGGCAUGUGAUCAUGGCAAGGAAGCACAGAGAGCAAUUUGCCUAUAGGAGGAGGAAGCCCACCGCUAUUUCUUCCUUAGACUCUCCUCCACUUCCACCUCACGCCCUUGUUUCCAGAAGGAUGGAGCUGAACAUACCCAUCAAUGCUUGCAGUGGUGACUCCUCCACCAUCACCAGCAUCAGAAAUGAGAUUGAAUGUCUCUGGAGUCGUCCCCAUGGAGAUAGAACCUGCGAUCGAUCAUCCUAAUUACUCAACUGCCGAGGCUUUUGCAAGGAGCAACGCUUGGCCACAAGGGGAAGCAGAUCAUGGAAGAGAGAAGAUCAUGAUAGCCUUCAUUGAUUACCUUGGUGUUGGUGCAACAUAGGAGAUAAGGGAGUAGGCAAAGGAAGGGACCAGAGCAGAGCAAAGCAAAGCAAAAGUGAGGAGUAAAAGAUACACAUUUCGAGUCGAUUGCGGAAGAGAAGGGAAAUUUUGUAGUAGCAGCAAACAUAUACUGAGGAGUAAUUUAAGAUGUUAAAAUGACAACCUAUGAUGAUAAAAAAAUAAAUAAAUAAAAUUAAAAGUAUAACAUGUUUAA
Molecule: RNA transcript, 618 nt
Organism: Zingiber officinale
Lineage: Eukaryota; Viridiplantae; Streptophyta; Magnoliopsida; Zingiberales; Zingiberaceae
Exons: 2
Source: RefSeq, a predicted model, not a curated record